This is a non-coding RNA of Triticum aestivum (bread wheat), 135 nucleotides long. The record is from Rfam. NCBI's taxonomy places the organism in Eukaryota, Viridiplantae, Streptophyta, Magnoliopsida, Poales, Poaceae.
CAACUACUCCCUCUGUCCCAAAUAACUUGUCUUAGAUUUGUCUAGAUACGGAUGUAUCUAAUACUAAAAUGUGACUUGAUACAUCCGUAUCUAGACAAAACUAAGACAAGAAUUUUGGGACAGAGGGAGUACUUU